RNAcentral lists this transfer RNA (77 nucleotides) under Ajuga reptans (bugle). Its description in RNAcentral is "tRNA-Cys". The record is from RNAcentral. Lineage: Eukaryota; Viridiplantae; Streptophyta; Magnoliopsida; Lamiales; Lamiaceae.
GCAGAAAUAGCCAACCGGGCUUAGAGCAAAGGACUGCAAAAAUCCUGGUGCCAGUGGUUCGAAUCCACUUCUAAGCG